Molecule: small nuclear RNA, 168 nt
Organism: Dromaius novaehollandiae (emu)
Lineage: Eukaryota; Metazoa; Chordata; Aves; Casuariiformes; Dromaiidae
Gene: U1
Rfam family: U1 spliceosomal RNA
About the family: U1 is a small nuclear RNA (snRNA) component of the spliceosome (involved in pre-mRNA splicing). Its 5' end forms complementary base pairs with the 5' splice junction, thus defining the 5' donor site of an intron. There are significant differences in sequence and secondary structure between metazoan and yeast U1 snRNAs, the latter being much longer (568 nucleotides as compared to 164 nucleotides in human).
Source: Ensembl
GUGCUCACCUGGCCGGGGAGACACCAUCCAUGGUCAGGCAGGUGGUUUUCCCAGGGCGAGGCUSGUCCCUUGCACUCCGGGCGUGCUGACCCCUGCGAUUUCCCCAAAUGCGGGAAACUCGACUGCAUCGUUUGUGGYAGUGGGGGACUGCGUUYGCGCUCUCCCCGA